ACCUUACUGAUGAGUGCCAAAUAACACGAAACCCGAGUCCAGGGU
This 45-nucleotide non-coding RNA is filed under the name Schistosoma curassoni. Lineage: Eukaryota; Metazoa; Platyhelminthes; Trematoda; Strigeidida; Schistosomatidae. The record is from RNAcentral.